GCUGUCUUUUCCCGCGCCCACCUUCUCUCUCCCCUCUCGCCUGCGCGCUCCGACCCGCUCGCUCUCCAGCCAUCGCCAGGAGCAGUGUGUGUUCACUUGGGGCCUGUAUUUGGAAUAAGAAAACAUUGCUGUUUCUGACUGGAGAGAAGGAAGAUAAAACUCAUCUGGAUUUCCUAAGGAAUUUUAUCUGGAUGCUUUGUUACCGAGGCUUUUGAAUUCAUCAGCCGGGGUAUAUAUCCUUUCAGAUCAAUGACCAGGAAGGAGAGGGGAUGGGGAAAGGAUGGUAUAGGAAGAGUAUUGGGACGUAGCUGUUGUGCUUGCUUACCUCUCCCUACCAGCAGCCUCGGGGCUCUCAGAGCUCUGCUCUAAUUAGGCCUCAGUCAUUUCACCCUCUUACUUCACGGCUGAUACUACAGGGAAGUUGUCGGCAUACCAGGGCAUGCUAGCAUUUCUUACUGACACCAUGAGGGGUAAAUUUGGUCUUUGUUACAGAAUAUGUGUGCGGAUAUGUUGUAGAAUAAGUAUGGUGGUUUUGUGGUCAGACAACUGUGUGAGAGGCUGCUGCAAUGUACUGUACUUAUACAAGUGAUUUUGGUUUUAAAGGAAGGAGGAUAUACUAUAAUUGAUGGACUACUGUUUUUGAAUGUUUGCAUAGGUAUUUGUAUGAUACAUUUAUUGUUAGUUUAGGAACUGAUGAUUUUGCAAAUUGUUUAUUAGGCAAUAUGUAUUCUGCUGAAACCACAUAAUCGCUUUAAUUAAACCUUACAACGAUUAACCU
Oncorhynchus masou masou (cherry salmon) is the source of this 778-nucleotide long non-coding RNA. RefSeq lists it as uncharacterized. The transcript is spliced from 4 exons. The record is from RefSeq and is a predicted model, not a curated record. Lineage: Eukaryota; Metazoa; Chordata; Actinopteri; Salmoniformes; Salmonidae.